UUAUUUCUUUUCAUAUGUACAAACCUAAGGCAGUACCAAAAUACGCUUAUCACUCAUCACCCAAGAAAAAUAGACAG
This is a small nucleolar RNA of Trypanosoma brucei brucei TREU927, 77 nucleotides long. Lineage: Eukaryota; Euglenozoa; Kinetoplastea; Trypanosomatida; Trypanosomatidae. The record is from RefSeq and is a predicted model, not a curated record.